GGGUUGUGAGGUUAAGCGACUAAGCGUACACGGUGGAUGCCCUGGCAGUCAGAGGCGAUGAAGGACGUGCUAAUCUGCGAUAAGCGUCGGUAAGGUGAUAUGAACCGUUAUAACCGGCGAUUUCCGAAUGGGGAAACCCAGUGUGAUUCGUCACACUAUCAUUAACUGAAUCCAUAGGUUAAUGAGGCGAACCGGGGGAACUGAAACAUCUAAGUACCCCGAGGAAAAGAAAUCAACCGAGAUUCCCCCAGUAGCGGCGAGCGAACGGGGAGCAGCCCAGAGCCUGAAUCAGUGUGUGUGUUAGUGGAAGCGUCUGGAAAGGCGCGCGAUACAGGGUGACAGCCCCGUACACAAAAAUGCACAUGCUGUGAGCUCGAUGAGUAGGGCGGGACACGUGGUAUCCUGUCUGAAUAUGGGGGGACCAUCCUCCAAGGCUAAAUACUCCUGACUGACCGAUAGUGAACCAGUACCGUGAGGGAAAGGCGAAAAGAACCCCGGCGAGGGGAGUGAAAAAGAACCUGAAACCGUGUACGUACAAGCAGUGGGAGCACGCUUAGGCGUGUGACUGCGUACCUUUUGUAUAAUGGGUCAGCGACUUAUAUUCUGUAGCAAGGUUAACCGAAUAGGGGAGCCGAAGGGAAACCGAGUCUUAACUGGGCGUUAAGUUGCAGGGUAUAGACCCGAAACCCGGUGAUCUAGCCAUGGGCAGGUUGAAGGUUGGGUAACACUAACUGGAGGACCGAACCGACUAAUGUUGAAAAAUUAGCGGAUGACUUGUGGCUGGGGGUGAAAGGCCAAUCAAACCGGGAGAUAGCUGGUUCUCCCCGAAAGCUAUUUAGGUAGCGCCUCGUGAAUUCAUCUCCGGGGGUAGAGCACUGUUUCGGCAAGGGGGUCAUCCCGACUUACCAACCCGAUGCAAACUGCGAAUACCGGAGAAUGUUAUCACGGGAGACACACGGCGGGUGCUAACGUCCGUCGUGAAGAGGGAAACAACCCAGACCGCCAGCUAAGGUCCCAAAGUCAUGGUUAAGUGGGAAACGAUGUGGGAAGGCCCAGACAGCCAGGAUGUUGGCUUAGAAGCAGCCAUCAUUUAAAGAAAGCGUAAUAGCUCACUGGUCGAGUCGGCCUGCGCGGAAGAUGUAACGGGGCUAAACCAUGCACCGAAGCUGCGGCAGCGACGCUGAUGCGUUGUUGGGUAGGGGAGCGUUCUGUAAGCCUGUGAAGGUGUACUGUGAGGUAUGCUGGAGGUAUCAGAAGUGCGAAUGCUGACAUAAGUAACGAUAAAGCGGGUGAAAAGCCCGCUCGCCGGAAGACCAAGGGUUCCUGUCCAACGUUAAUCGGGGCAGGGUGAGUCGACCCCUAAGGCGAGGCCGAAAGGCGUAGUCGAUGGGAAACAGGUUAAUAUUCCUGUACUUGGUGUUACUGCGAAGGGGGGACGGAGAAGGCUAUGUUGGCCGGGCGACGGUUGUCCCGGUUUAAGCGUGUAGGCUGGUUUUCCAGGCAAAUCCGGAAAAUCAAGGCUGAGGCGUGAUGACGAGGCACUACGGUGCUGAAGCAACAAAUGCCCUGCUUCCAGGAAAAGCCUCUAAGCAUCAGGUAACAUCAAAUCGUACCCCAAACCGACACAGGUGGUCAGGUAGAGAAUACCAAGGCGCUUGAGAGAACUCGGGUGAAGGAACUAGGCAAAAUGGUGCCGUAACUUCGGGAGAAGGCACGCUGAUAUGUAGGUGAAGUCCCUCGCGGAUGGAGCUGAAAUCAGUCGAAGAUACCAGCUGGCUGCAACUGUUUAUUAAAAACACAGCACUGUGCAAACACGAAAGUGGACGUAUACGGUGUGACGCCUGCCCGGUGCCGGAAGGUUAAUUGAUGGGGUCAGCGCAAGCGAAGCUCUUGAUCGAAGCCCCGGUAAACGGCGGCCGUAACUAUAACGGUCCUAAGGUAGCGAAAUUCCUUGUCGGGUAAGUUCCGACCUGCACGAAUGGCGUAAUGAUGGCCAGGCUGUCUCCACCCGAGACUCAGUGAAAUUGAACUCGCUGUGAAGAUGCAGUGUACCCGCGGCAAGACGGAAAGACCCCGUGAACCUUUACUAUAGCUUGACACUGAACAUUGAGCCUUGAUGUGUAGGAUAGGUGGGAGGCUUUGAAGUGUGGACGCCAGUCUGCAUGGAGCCGACCUUGAAAUACCACCCUUUAAUGUUUGAUGUUCUAACGUUGACCCGUAAUCCGGGUUGCGGACAGUGUCUGGUGGGUAGUUUGACUGGGGCGGUCUCCUCCUAAAGAGUAACGGAGGAGCACGAAGGUUGGCUAAUCCUGGUCGGACAUCAGGAGGUUAGUGCAAUGGCAUAAGCCAGCUUGACUGCGAGCGUGACGGCGCGAGCAGGUGCGAAAGCAGGUCAUAGUGAUCCGGUGGUUCUGAAUGGAAGGGCCAUCGCUCAACGGAUAAAAGGUACUCCGGGGAUAACAGGCUGAUACCGCCCAAGAGUUCAUAUCGACGGCGGUGUUUGGCACCUCGAUGUCGGCUCAUCACAUCCUGGGGCUGAAGUAGGUCCCAAGGGUAUGGCUGUUCGCCAUUUAAAGUGGUACGCGAGCUGGGUUUAGAACGUCGUGAGACAGUUCGGUCCCUAUCUGCCGUGGGCGCUGGAGAACUGAGGGGGGCUGCUCCUAGUACGAGAGGACCGGAGUGGACGCAUCACUGGUGUUCGGGUUGUCAUGCCAAUGGCACUGCCCGGUAGCUAAAUGCGGAAGAGAUAAGUGCUGAAAGCAUCUAAGCACGAAACUUGCCCCGAGAUGAGUUCUCCCUGACUCCUUGAGAGUCCUGAAGGAACGUUGAAGACGACGACGUUGAUAGGCCGGGUGUGUAAGCGCAGCGAUGCGUUGAGCUAACCGGUACUAAUGAACCGUGAGGCUUAACCUUACAACGCCGAAGCUGUU
Molecule: ribosomal RNA, 2930 nt
Filed under: Escherichia coli
Lineage: Bacteria; Pseudomonadati; Pseudomonadota; Gammaproteobacteria; Enterobacterales; Enterobacteriaceae
Description: 23S ribosomal RNA
Rfam family: Bacterial large subunit ribosomal RNA
Source: RNAcentral